Non-coding RNA from Arabis alpina (gray rockcress), 81 nucleotides. The record is from Rfam. Lineage: Eukaryota; Viridiplantae; Streptophyta; Magnoliopsida; Brassicales; Brassicaceae.
GACAGUUUGGCCGAGUGGUCUAAGGUGCCAGAUUUAGGCUCUGAUCCGUUAAGGGCGUGGGUUCAAAUCCCACAACUGUAA